RNAcentral lists this ribosomal RNA (459 nucleotides) under uncultured bacterium. RNAcentral's name for it is "partial 16S ribosomal RNA". It matches the Rfam family "Bacterial small subunit ribosomal RNA", at positions 338 to 795 of the family's 1533-position model. The record is from RNAcentral.
CCUACGGGAGGCAGCAGUGAGGAAUAUUGGUCAAUGGGCGCGAGCCUGAACCAGCCAAGUCGCGUGAGGGAAGACGGUCCUAUGGAUUGUAAACCUCUUUUGUCGGGGAGCAAAAGACGCCAUGCGUGGCGUUCCGAGAGUACCCGAAGAAAAAGCAUCGGCUAACUCCGUGCCAGCAGCCGCGGUAAUACGGAGGAUGCGAGCGUUAUCCGGAUUUAUUGGGUUUAACGGGUGCGAAGGCGGAAGGUCAAGUCAGCGGUAAAAUUGAGAGGCUCAACCUCUUCGAGCCGUUGAAACUGGUUUUCUGGAGUGAGCGAGAAGUAUGCGGAAUGCGAGGUGUAGGGGUGAAAUGCAUAGAUAUCACGCAGAACUCCGAUGGCGAAGGCGGCAUACCGGCGCUCAACUGACGCUCAGGCACGAAAGUGUGGGUAUCGAACAGGAUUAGAUACCCCAGUAGUC